UGUUUUGGACGACAAGCCAGCGCAGCGCCGCCGUCGCUGAGCCACCAUGCUACGCGUCAACUAACAACUGCACAAAAACAACAAACUAAAAAAACAACGCUGGAGAGUUGAAUCAGCAGCACUUGGAAAAAUGCUGGCCUGGCGGCAUUAGCCAGCCGCGCAUGGUUUUUAGUUUACAUCCGAACUCGACCGCGAAAACAUUACCCUCAAAAAUAUAGAGAUACGGGAUGUCAUUAUAUUUAACGUUUUUAGAGGUGGUGUAAAAUAUACGCUUUACGCUUUAACAGCUGUGACCUCUCUUGUUUUUUCUUUUUAACAUUAAGUUAGAUACGAGUACCGUGUCAAUUGAAAAGUUGGAAUCAUAUGAAGUAAUUGGAUUUUAAUUAAAGAUACUCAAGCAUAUGUAUCUACGAUAUGAUGUGUCGAGACGCAAUGGUGCAUUAAGAGUCCGAGGAGUGAAUCAAAUGAAGAUUAUUAAAUUGACGGAUAAGUGAUGAUUGUUACUUUUUUUCUUGUUUUUUAAUCAUAAGUGAAGGUCACUAAAUAAGUUUGAAAAAGAUACAACAAAGUCAACUUUAAACAAGUAUCUAACUAUCUAAUGCUUCCGUGAGAUCAUUUAUCUUAAUUUUUUGUUUUAUAUUCAUUUUUAUAUGAAUUGACGUGAUUUUCGAGUACCUACCUAUCAAAAGAAUAGUGCUUAUUUACUUUUAAGGCUUUUUUAUGAUUUCAAAAGAUUUACUUCUAAAUUGAAAUUACUCUUGAACACAAUUCGUCUGUGGUUUUCGGUGAAUUCUGAGCUCAAGUUCUAUUUGAUAGAUUGUUGUUGAUGACGGACGGUUUUGUAUUGUUUAUUAAAAAAAUAAAGUUCUUUGUUUGAGGUUUAAGAGGAAUAUAAGAGGGUUUUUCAACACUGAAAUGGACAUAUUGGAUAUCAUAUUGACUUGAAGAAAAGCCAAAGAGCACACAUUUAACUACGUGGAUCGUGUACGUCUGGGUCAAAGUUCGUUACAAAAACAAUAUCGUCCGCCGUGCGGUUCUGGCUGGCGCCAAAAAUCCAUUUCGAAUCUAGACCUUUCAACAAAUCG
Eupeodes corollae is the source of this 1085-nucleotide long non-coding RNA. RefSeq lists it as uncharacterized. The record is from RefSeq and is a predicted model, not a curated record. The transcript is spliced from 3 exons. Lineage: Eukaryota; Metazoa; Arthropoda; Insecta; Diptera; Syrphidae.